Molecule: ribosomal RNA, 1159 nt
Filed under: Staphylococcus aureus
Lineage: Bacteria; Bacillati; Bacillota; Bacilli; Caryophanales; Staphylococcaceae
Description: partial 23S ribosomal RNA
Rfam family: Bacterial large subunit ribosomal RNA
Source: RNAcentral
GAUUAAGUUAUUAAGGGCGCACGGUGGAUGCCUUGGCACUAGAAGCCGAUGAAGGACGUUACUAACGACGAUAUGCUUUGGGGAGCUGUAAGUAAGCUUUGAUCCAGAGAUUUCCGAAUGGGGAAACCCAGCAUGAGUUAUGUCAUGUUAUCGAUAUGUGAAUACAUAGCAUAUCAGAAGGCACACCCGGAGAACUGAAACAUCUUAGUACCCGGAGGAAGAGAAAGAAAAUUCGAUUCCCUUAGUAGCGGCGAGCGAAACGGGAAGAGCCCAAACCAACAAGCUUGCUUGUUGGGGUUGUAGGACACUCUAUACGGAGUUACAAAGGACGACAUUAGACGAAUCAUCUGGAAAGAUGAAUCAAAGAAGGUAAUAAUCCUGUAGUCGAAAAUGUUGUCUCUCUUGAGUGGAUCCUGAGUACGACGGAGCACGUGAAAUUCCGUCGGAAUCUGGGAGGACCAUCUCCUAAGGCUAAAUACUCUCUAGUGACCGAUAGUGAACCAGUACCGUGAGGGAAAGGUGAAAAGUACCCCGGAAGGGGAGUGAAAUAGAACCUGAAACCGUGUGCUUACAAGUAGUCAGAGCCCGUUAAUGGGUGAUGGCGUGCCUUUUGUAGAAUGAACCGGCGAGUUACGAUUUGAUGCAAGGUUAAGCAGUAAAUGUGGAGCCGUAGCGAAAGCGAGUCUGAAUAGGGCGUUUAGUAUUUGGUCGUAGACCCGAAACCAGGUGAUCUACCCUUGGUCAGGUUGAAGUUCAGGUAACACUGAAUGGAGGACCGAACCGACUUACGUUGAAAAGUGAGCGGAUGAACUGAGGGUAGCGGAGAAAUUCCAAUCGAACCUGGAGAUAGCUGGUUCUCUCCGAAAUAGCUUUAGGGCUAGCCUCAAGUGAUGAUUAUUGGAGGUAGAGCACUGUUUGGACGAGGGGCCCCUCUCGGGUUACCGAAUUCAGACAAACUCCGAAUGCCAAUUAAUUUAACUUGGGAGUCAGAACAUGGGUGAUAAGGUCCGUGUUCGAAAGGGAAACAGCCCAGACCACCAGCUAAGGUCCCAAAAUAUAUGUUAAGUGGAAAAGGAUGUGGCGUUGCCCAGACAACUAGGAUGUUGGCUUAGAAGCAGCCAUCAUUUAAAGAGUGCGUAAUAGCUCACUAGUCGAGUGA